This 496-nucleotide ribosomal RNA is filed under the name uncultured Glomeromycotina. RNAcentral describes it as "partial small subunit ribosomal RNA". It matches the Rfam family "Eukaryotic small subunit ribosomal RNA", at positions 591 to 1092 of the family's 1831-position model. Lineage: Eukaryota; Fungi; Glomeromycota. The record is from RNAcentral.
CCAAUAGCGUAUAUUAAAGUUGUUGCAGUUAAAAAGCUCGUAGUUGAAUUUCAGGAUUCUAUCGUUGGUCGGGCUAUUGUCUGUACUGGCGUGUAGAAUUUCUACCUUCUGGGGAACUAUCAUGUUAUUAAUUUAGCGUGGUAGGAAACCAGGACCUUUACCUUGAAAAAAUUAGAGUGUUCAAAGCAGGCUUAUGUCUGAAUACAUUAGCAUGGAAUAAUAAAAUAGGACGGCGGUCCUGUUUUGUUGAUUUCUGAAUCACCGUAAUGAUUAAUAGGGAUAGUUGGGGGCAUUAGUAUUCAAUUGUCCGAGGUGAAAUUCUUGGAUUUAUUGAAGACUAACUACUGCGAAAGCAUUUGCCAAGGAUGUUUUCAUUAAUCAAGAACGAAAGUUAGGGGAUCGAAGAUGAUCAGAUGCCGUCGUAGUCUUAACCAUAAACUAUGCCGACUAGGGAUCGGACGAUGUUAACUUUUUUUGACUCGUUCGGCGCCUUAUG